GCCGCCGCGCUGUGCCUCCGUUUCUCCGUCUCUCUGUAUUCUCAUCUAAAUCUGCCCUAGGAAUUGCUGAGAUCCAAUCCGAGCUGGUAAGCAUAUGGAUGAAGAAAGGGAUUGACGAGAAUAUCACAAAGGUGCUCCACUUCGUAGGUAAUACACGAGCUUGAUACUACUUUUUAAAUUAAAAAGUCUCAGAUCUGGGUGGGGUGAAUGGUUGUGCUUGCGCAUGUAUACAACAAGUCUGCUACUACUACUUGUGAAGUCGUGAUAGUAGAAUUCUAGUAAUUAUACGGCUAAUGGCUGAUCACUGUUUCUAGUAUUCUAUCCGAUCCAUCCAUUGUCUCUGUACUGUAUUCUAUCCGAUCCAUCCAUUGUCUCUGUACUAUAAUUUCUAGCCGAUCACUACAAGCCGAUUAAUAGAAUAUCUAGCUGGUCACUAAUUGCUAGACUUGUUGUUAAUGAUCGGCUAGAAAGUCUAGUAAUUAGACUGCUAUCUUACUUAUGUGCUUUACUUCCUAAUUAACACUACUCUUAUUUUUCGUUUUAUUUAUUUUAGGGCAAUCUGUCGAAAGUACCCGAUGAUGUCCGAGCAAUGUUCCUGAAGCUGUUACAAUGUCAGGAAGAACAGAGUGAUGCAAAGAAGAGGAAGUUAGAACAGAUAGCAACUGAUACUCAUGAAGUAAAUGCCAUAGAAGAGAAUGACCAAGAUCAUGUUGGAGAUCAGCUGGCAAACUAGAGUAAAACCCAGACAACUGUGAAUCAAUUCUACAAAAAACUUAGUGAACUAUUUACUAUUGUCCGCUCAGGCUGAACCAGCAUAUUUGUGACUAUGCCCUUUAAUGAACAUAUAUGUCGGAGACCUAUGGUUUAUGCUGAAUUCUACUUCUGUUUAUGAGCUUAUCCUAUAUAAUUUUA
RNAcentral lists this long non-coding RNA (912 nucleotides) under Hordeum vulgare. Its description in RNAcentral is "long non-coding RNA (HVUL_LNC011374)". The record is from RNAcentral. Lineage: Eukaryota; Viridiplantae; Streptophyta; Magnoliopsida; Poales; Poaceae.